AUGCACAACAUCCAGGCCAUGCACACCCAGGAGAAGGAGCAGAUCAAGACCCUCAGCAAGUAUGCCUCUUUCAUCGACAAGGUAUGGUUCCUGCAGCAGCAGAACAAGAUGCUGGAGACCGAGUGGAGCCUCCUGCAGCAGCAGGAGAUGGCUCGGAGCAACAUGGACAACCUGUUCGAGAGCUACAUCAACAACCUUAGGCAGCAGCUGGAGACUCUGGGCCAGGAGAAGCUGAAGCUGGAGACGGAGCUUGGCAACAUUCAGGGGCUGGUGGAGGACUUCAAGAACGAGAAUGAGGAUGAGAUCAAUGAGCGUACAGAGAUGGCGAAUGAAUUUGUCCUCAUCAAGAAAGAUGUGGAUGAAGCUUACGUGAACAAUGUAGAGUGGGAGUCUUGCCUGGAGGGGCUGACUGACAAGAUCAACUUCCUCAGGCAGCUGUAUGAAGAGGAGAUCCAGGAGCUGCAUUCCCAGAUCUCGGAUACGUCUGUGGUGCUGUCCAUGGACAACAGCCGCUCCCUGGACAUGGACAGCAUCAUCGCUGAGGUCAAGGCGCAGUACGAGGAGAUCGCCAACCGCAGCCUGGCUGAGGCUGAGAGCAUGUACCAGGUCAAGUAUGAGGAGCUGCAGAGCCUGGCUGGGAAGCCCGGGGAUGACCUGCGGCGCACAAAGACUGAGAUCUCCGAGAUGAACCAGAACAUCAGUCGGCUUCAGGCUGAGACUGAGGGCCUCAAAGGCCAGAGGGCUUCCCUGUGGAGGUUGCCAUCGCAGAUGCAGAGCAACGUGGGGAUCUGGCCAUUAAGGAUGCCAAUGUCAAGGGAUACCUCCGAGCUGGAGGCCACCCUGCAGCGAGUCAAGCAGGACAUGGCGAGGCAGUUGCGUGAGUACCAGGAGCUGAUGAACGUCAAGCUGGCCCUGGACAUUGAGAUGUCACCUACAGGAGGCUGCUGGAGGGCGAGGAGAGCCAGCUAGAGUCUGAGAUGCAGAACUUGAGUAUCCAUAUGAAGACCACCAGCGGUUUUGCAGGUGGUCUGAGCUCGGCCUAUGGGGGGCCUCACAAGCCCCGGCCUCAGCUAUGGCCUGGGCUCUGGCCUCUGGCUUUGACGCGGGCUCCAGCUCCUUCAGCUGCACCAGCUCCACCAGGGCCCUGGUUGUGAAGAAGAGCUAGACCCAUGAUGGGAAGCUGGUGUCCGCGUCCUCUGACGUGCUGCCCAAGUGA
RNA transcript from Mandrillus leucophaeus (drill), 1216 nucleotides. It is a transcript of the gene named keratin, type II cytoskeletal 8 pseudogene, with no coding region annotated. The record is from RefSeq and is a predicted model, not a curated record. The transcript has a single exon. Lineage: Eukaryota; Metazoa; Chordata; Mammalia; Primates; Cercopithecidae.